This 468-nucleotide ribosomal RNA is filed under the name uncultured bacterium. Its description in RNAcentral is "partial 16S ribosomal RNA". It matches the Rfam family "Bacterial small subunit ribosomal RNA", at positions 28 to 507 of the family's 1533-position model. The record is from RNAcentral.
GACGAACGCUGGCGGCGUGCUUAACACAUGCAAGUCGAACGGAAAGGCCCUGCUUUUGUGGGGUGCUCGAGUGGCGAACGGGUGAGUAACACGUGAGUAACCUGCCCUUGACUUUGGGAUAACUUCAGGAAACUGGGGCUAAUACCGGAUAGGAGCUCCUGCUGCAUGGGGGGGGUUGGAAAGUUUCGGCGGUUGGGGAUGGACUCGCGGCUUAUCAGCUUGUUUGUGGGGUAGUGGCUUACCAAGGCUUUGACGGGUAGCCGGCCUGAGAGGGUGACCGGCCACAUUGGGCCUGAGGUACGGCCCAGACUCCUACGGGAGGCAGCAGUGGGGAAUAUUGCACAAUGGGCGGAAGCCUGAUGCAGCAACGCCGCGUGCGGGAUGACGGCCUUCGGGUUGUAAACCGCUUUCGCCUGUGACGAAGCGUGAGUGACGGUAAUGGGUAAAGAAGCACCGGCUAACUACGUG